Molecule: microRNA, 17 nt
Filed under: Corchorus capsularis
Lineage: Eukaryota; Viridiplantae; Streptophyta; Magnoliopsida; Malvales; Malvaceae
Description: sRNA CCACVL1_11588
Source: RNAcentral
GGUGGGGGCUGUGGAUU